Molecule: ribosomal RNA, 472 nt
Filed under: uncultured bacterium
Lineage: Bacteria
Description: partial 16S ribosomal RNA
Rfam family: Bacterial small subunit ribosomal RNA
Source: RNAcentral
GAUGAACGCUGGCGGCGUGCCUAAUACAUGCAAGUCGAACGCUGAAGCUUGGUGCUUGCACUUCUUGGAUUAGCGGCGAACGGGUGAGUAAUACGUGAGUAACCUGCCUUUGAGACUGGGAUAACUUCGGGAAACCGGGUCUAAUACUGGAUACGAUAUGUCACCGCAUGGUUCAGUGUUGAAAGGCUUUGUUUCGUUUUGGAUUGGUUGACUGCUAACUAGCUUGUUGGUUGGGUAAUGUCUCACCAAGGCAAGGAGGGGUAGCCGACCUGAGAGGGUGGCCGGCGACAAUGGGACUGAGAGACGGCGCAGACGGCUACGGGAGGCAGCGGGGGAGAGUAUUGCACAAUGAGCGGAAGCGUGAGGCAGAGGUGCCGCGUGAGGGAUGACGGCCUACGGGUUGUAAACCUAUGUGAGAGUGAAAGAAGAGAAAGUGACGGUACGUGAAGAAAAAGCGCCGGCUAACUACGUG